AGUGAACGCUGGCGGUAGGCCUAACACAUGCAAGUCGAACGGCAGCACAGUAAAAGCUUGCUCUUACGGGUGGCGAGUGGCGGACGGGUGAGGAAUACAUCGGAAUCUACUUUUUCGUGGGGGAUAACGUAGGGAAACUUACGCUAAUACCGCAUACGACCUACGGGUGAAAGCAGGGGAUCUUCGGACCUUGCGCGAUUGAAUGAGCCGAUGUCGGAUUAGCUAGUUGGCGGGGUAAAGGCCCACCAAGGCGACAAUCCGUAGCUGGUCUGAGAGGAUGAUCAGCCACACUGGAACUGAGACACGGUCCAGACUCCUACGGGAGGCAGCAGUGGGGAAUAUUGGACAAUGGGCGCAAGCCUGAUCCAGCCAUACCGCGUGGGUGAAGAAGGCCUUCGGGUUGUAAAGCCCUUUUGUUGGGAAAGAAAAGCAGCAGGUUAAUACCCCGCUGUUCUGACGGUACCCAAAGAAUAAGCACCGGCUAACUUCGUG
This 492-nucleotide ribosomal RNA is filed under the name uncultured bacterium. RNAcentral's name for it is "partial 16S ribosomal RNA". It matches the Rfam family "Bacterial small subunit ribosomal RNA", at positions 29 to 507 of the family's 1533-position model. The record is from RNAcentral.